GAGACGCUGAAAGUCCGGAUUUAAAGUGCAGAAAAUUAAGCCAUUGAAUCUGCCUGUCCAUGACGUACAAAGGCACACUAUGAGCCAGUAUGAUCCGACCAGACCUUACAUCAGCAUUGAGGAGUUGUCGGAGAAGAAACAGGCUGAUUGAAGCGGGACAGAUGACAUGGAUCCAUCCUUCCACAGCCAGGAGCGCACCGACCUGUGUCCCACACUUCAUAUAAGACUGGAAGCUACACUGGAUCUCACAGCUACACACCACAGACGUCUACACACUGGAGAAGAUUCAGACAGAGUCCCACAAAGAAGUCAUGACCCAGAGGCUGCAGAGAAACAUUUCAAGCCUCACCUGAG
Limanda limanda (common dab) is the source of this 354-nucleotide long non-coding RNA. RefSeq lists it as uncharacterized. The record is from RefSeq and is a predicted model, not a curated record. The transcript is spliced from 3 exons. NCBI's taxonomy places the organism in Eukaryota, Metazoa, Chordata, Actinopteri, Pleuronectiformes, Pleuronectidae.